ACUCUUUUCAUUACCCGAUAAAACACCUAUAUCACCCCUGCCGGUGCUUGCAUCGGCUAUGGCAAUAAACUGUCGGUGAAAUAAACCUAUUGGACCCGGGGGCGGUACCCGGCGCCUCCACC
RNAcentral lists this transfer-messenger RNA (122 nucleotides) under Rhizobium sp. Its description in RNAcentral is "partial transfer-messenger RNA". It matches the Rfam family "Alphaproteobacteria transfer-messenger RNA", at positions 1 to 118 of the family's 355-position model. Rfam says of the family: Bacterial tmRNA, also known as 10Sa RNA or SsrA, is named for its dual tRNA and mRNA-like properties. Its role is to liberate the mRNA from a stalled ribosome. To accomplish this part of the tmRNA is used as a reading frame that ends in a translation stop signal. The record is from RNAcentral. Lineage: Bacteria; Pseudomonadati; Pseudomonadota; Alphaproteobacteria; Hyphomicrobiales; Rhizobiaceae.